RNAcentral lists this long non-coding RNA (2788 nucleotides) under Nicotiana tabacum (common tobacco). Its description in RNAcentral is "long non-coding RNA (NTAB_LNC012578)". Lineage: Eukaryota; Viridiplantae; Streptophyta; Magnoliopsida; Solanales; Solanaceae. The record is from RNAcentral.
AAGGGAUAUACACACAGAAGCUGCGCAGCAAAUACAAGACCCCUCCCCCCUUCGGAUCAUCUUUUUCACAGACCCCCGCCCCCUUGACCUCAUCCUUCAUCAUCAGUCAUCGAUCCCAAACGACCGAAGACCCUCCAGUCAUCGCCUCCUGCACAAAAUCAGUGAGAACGGGCCCUCCAAUCUCUCUCGAUCUCUGAGACGACGAGCAGUAGCGGACCCCUCCCAUCGCCGGAAAUUCGAAAAUAACCCGACCUUCACCCAACUCCCUCGCCUCGUCUCAUCUCGUCGCGGUCCACUCCACCAGCAACCCCAUAUCUGGCGAGCUUCACCCUCACGCACACACACAUAGACGGAACAACAGUGUGACCUCCUCGUUCAAUACGUCCUUUGGCUGUUUCACUCUCAGGUCUGUUGAUCUUCCUUGGUUUGCUGUUUUCACCCCCACUAUCAUUACUGUUUCUUCCGUUUUCCAUUAGCUAUUUCAUUAGCGGAUAGGAUUAUGAAACUCAGCUACAAAGCACACUAAAUGGAAUGAAGCUGAUCCAAAUCACUAGUCACUAUUGCAAUCCGUUGAUUUCAUUAUUUGGUUUAAUUCGAGUUUCCUGGCGAGUUCUGAGUUGUAGUCUUAGGUUGCCGACGGGGUUUUCCGGCCAAGUUCCGGCUUUAGUUCCUAUUCACAUAGUGUUAUUGCAAUCGGAAAGGCCAUCAUUUUAAGUUAAGUAGUGAUUUCCGGCGAGGUUCUCAAUCGAGAAAGUGCACGGUUCUGUCGAGGUUGUACAAGUCAUGACUGGUCGUUGUAUGAAUCCUGCUUGGAGGCCUUGUUCCAUGAGAAAUCCUUGCUUCAGUUGAGAUUCAUUCUCAAUUUUUUUCACUAUUGAUUAGUUGAAUGUUAUGUUUGUUUGAUUUUGAUACAUCAUUUGAUUAUUUUAUUUUAGUUGAAAAAUUUUGAACGAGUAUUGAGUGCUUGGUUGAAUUGUUGGAUUUUGAAAACAAAAGGAAAUUUUAACUACAUGAAGCCAUGAAAUAUGAUACUCUCACUUUUGUUAGUUUGCCCAUUAAUUGUUACCUUACUGGAUUUAGGUUGAGAAUAAAUUGGGAACGAUUUGGUUGCCUCAGUUGAAAUUAGGCCUUUAACACCUUCACUUGAGCAAUUAAAUAAAUUUAUAUGAGUGGAUGAAAAUUAUCACCAAGCCCAACUAAUUUUUCAAAUGAAUUCCAAACCUCUAAACAAGCUUGCGUGCUUUUGUAAUAUUUCUUUGAAAUUCAUGAACACUUUGUCCAACAAAUGAAUAUCUAUAGUUUCAGACUUUCAAUAAUUCCAAAUUGAAGAUAGGCAACUUGUAAAUGCAUAGUUGUUUUAGGCGCGUUGUUUUAAUAAUAUUACUUUCCUAAACUCGGGUGUGCAUUUCAUGUGACCCAAACCCAAAUCCAAAAAGGAGGUGUGACAGUUGGCGACUCUGCUGGGGAUCGAACCCAGAAUCUCUGGUUCAAGGUUCAAGAAUUCGAGCUUAGAAUAAUUGUUAUAGUGAGCUUUAUCCAUUAUCUGAUUUUGUUACAUGAUUUGGGCCUAAUGUGCUAAUUGAUUUCUUUUACCGCUUUGAUAUUUCAUGAACUAUAUAUAAACUAUUGCGAAACCCCUCAUCUCUCUGAGUCUUCUAAAUCAUGAAGAAGUUUGCACUUCGUGUGACUUCUUUUCUGUUAGAGUCAUAUCCCAAAUUUAGAUCGAGGUUCGGACAAGUUGUAAAGCCGGUGAAGCUUCUGUAUUCCCGGUACGCUGCCCCCUCCCCCCCGGCUCGAGCUAUCCUCUAGGGUAAGCCAGGUCCAGAACAAUAAACCCAGAUUUUGAACCUAGUAUAACAAGAACUCAUGCCAGAUCCCUAGUAGGAACAUUUGCUUGCAUCACGUGCAUUUGACUUUGGGGACUCAACAUAGGGGUUGGGUCUGUCUAGGACAGGUGUACCCAAAAUAAUAGACCAUCUUGAUGCAUCCUAUGUGCUACAUGUUGCAUUUUUUCAAGGGUAAAAGGGUCAUUUGGUGGACCAAUGAUAAUGGAGGGCGAAUGAAAAAAAAAGAAAAAAAGAGAGAGGAUGAAGUGUGAGGAUGAAGCGAGUAGGGUCCAAUUAUAUUUUUUGUUACAUUUUAUUAAGAAAAAAAGCAUGGAAACUUCAAAAAGAUUUUGCACUUUUUAUCAUUUUUCAAAAUAAAAAAAAACAAAAAAAAUCCAAAAUGAUUUUACAUGUUUCAUCAUUUUUUGAAAAAAAAAAGACAAAAAAUGUGUUUUCUAUAAGUCAGUUGCUUGCCUGUAUCAAAUCUGCCCGAACUACGCAUACCUGAUUCUCGUCUUUCAGGGCGUGAUACGUAGGCAAUCCACAUAGGGUCCGGUCUUCCUAGUAAAUCUUAGAUUCUUGGCUUUGCGGGGUCAUAGCCAAAUUUUGUACUUCUAGCCACCUUUUGGCCAAAUAAGCCAGUUUGCAAAAAUAGCCUCAACCAUGUUUUCCAUGUGUCCAAUAGGGAAUGUUAUUGUCUCACAUAGUGUUGAUUUAAAGUUUUCUCAUACAGGUGUGGAUUUAUUUACCGAAGUUUGAGCAUGACAGACACCCCGUGACCAUCCGGUCAGGAUCGCUCAGUCAGGAGUUGCUUGAGGAGAUUUGUUUUAUUUUUAAGUUUUGACUUUGUUCUUCAUUUUGUGUCGUCUUUUACUUUCUAGUUUUGUACAGUAAUGUCAAGCCUUUUGUUAUUGUUUUUUAUGCUUUAUAUUUGAAAAAUAUGUUGUAACUCAAAAAUUNNN